This 138-nucleotide small nucleolar RNA is filed under the name Ornithorhynchus anatinus (platypus). Lineage: Eukaryota; Metazoa; Chordata; Mammalia; Monotremata; Ornithorhynchidae. The record is from RNAcentral.
CCCCUCUCAGGGUUGCACCUGGAGAGUUUCUAGUACUCUAUCAGUCUCAACUGUGGGAGGAAGAGUCAAGCAGAGGCAUACCCAUUACAUUCCUAGCUUGGGCAGUGGCCAGCGAGUGGAAGGCAAUCCGCUACAAGU